CCCUGGUUGGCUCAGUUGGUAGAGCGCUCCACUUGUAAUGGAGAGGUCCCGGGUUCGAUACCCGGACCAGGUG
Molecule: transfer RNA, 73 nt
Filed under: Ixodes scapularis (black-legged tick)
Lineage: Eukaryota; Metazoa; Arthropoda; Arachnida; Ixodida; Ixodidae
Rfam family: tRNA
About the family: Transfer RNA (tRNA) molecules are approximately 80 nucleotides in length. Their secondary structure includes four short double-helical elements and three loops (D, anti-codon, and T loops). Further hydrogen bonds mediate the characteristic L-shaped molecular structure. tRNAs have two regions of fundamental functional importance: the anti-codon, which is responsible for specific mRNA codon recognition, and the 3' end, to which the tRNAs corresponding amino acid is attached (by aminoacyl-tRNA synthetases). tRNAs cope with the degeneracy of the genetic code in two manners: having more than one tRNA (with a specific anti-codon) for a particular amino acid; and 'wobble' base-pairing, i.e. permitting non-standard base-pairing at the 3rd anti-codon position.
Source: Rfam by way of RNAcentral